This 430-nucleotide ribosomal RNA is filed under the name uncultured bacterium. Its description in RNAcentral is "partial 16S ribosomal RNA". It matches the Rfam family "Bacterial small subunit ribosomal RNA", at positions 29 to 507 of the family's 1533-position model. The record is from RNAcentral.
AACGAACGCUGGCGGCAGGCCUAACACAUGCAAGUCGAACGCCCCGCACGGGGAGUGGCAGACGGGUGGGUAACACGUGGGGACCGUCCCAAUAGUACGAAAUACCCCAGGGAAACUUGGAGCAAUACGGUAUACGGCCGAAAGCGGAAAGAAUUUCGCUAUAGGAUGGGCCCGGGUCGGAUUAUUUGGUUGGUGGGGUAAUGGCUCACCAAGGCGACGAUCCUGAGCUGGUUUGAGAGAACGACCCGCCACACGGGGACUGAGACACGGACCCGACUCCUACGGGAGGCAGCAGUGUGGAAUAUUGGGCACUGGGCGCAAGCCUGAUCCCGCCGUGCCGCGUGAGUGAUCAAGGCCUUAGGGUUGUAAAGCUCUUUUGGCGGAAACGAUAAUGACGGUACCCGCAGAAUAAGUCCCGGCUAACUUCGUG